UGGGGAAUUGUUCGCAAUGGGCGCAAGCCUGACGACGCAACGCCGCGUGGAGGAUGAAGAUUUUCGGAUCGUAAACUCCUGUCGAAUGGGACGAAUGGCCCAGCCGUGAAUAUCGGCUGGGAGUGACGGUACCGUGAGAGGAAGCCCCGGCUAACUCCGUGCCAGCAGCCGCGGUAAUACGGGGGGGGCAAGCGUUGUUCGGAAUUACUGGGCGUAAAGGGCUCGUAGGUGGCCAUCUAAGUCAGACGUGAAAUCCCUCGGCUUAACCGGGGAACUGCGUCUGAUACUGGGCGGCUUGAAUUCGGGAGAGGGACGUGGAAUUCCAGGUGUAGCGGUGAAAUGCGUAGAUAUCUGGAGGAACACCGGUGGCGAAGGCGGCGUCCUGGACCGAUAUUGACACUGAGGAGCGAAAGCCAGGGGAGCAAACGGG
Molecule: ribosomal RNA, 430 nt
Filed under: uncultured bacterium
Lineage: Bacteria
Description: bacterial SSU rRNA
Rfam family: Bacterial small subunit ribosomal RNA
Source: RNAcentral